UGGAGGACUGAGAAGGUUGAACAGCUUGUUCGGUGCUGUUAUAACUGGUUAUAGCCUCCAAGAGCAACCAACAAACACAGUGAAGUCCAUCUGUUGUCAGAAGGGAUGAUGUGUGCGUUUGUGGAACAUUUG
This is a small nucleolar RNA of Girardinichthys multiradiatus, 132 nucleotides long. RefSeq annotates it as small nucleolar RNA SNORA47. The record is from RefSeq and is a predicted model, not a curated record. NCBI's taxonomy places the organism in Eukaryota, Metazoa, Chordata, Actinopteri, Cyprinodontiformes, Goodeidae. The transcript has a single exon.